AGCAGUAGCCGCGGUAAUACGAAGGGGGCUAGCGUUGUUCGGAAUUACUGGGCGUAAAGCGCACGUAGGCGGAUAUUUAAGUCAGGGGUGAAAUCCCGCAGCUCAACUGCGGAACUGCCUUUGAUACUGGGUAUCUUGAGUAUGGAAGAGGUUAGUGGAAUUGCGAGUGUAGAGGUGAAAUUCGUAGAUAUUCGCAGGAACACCAGUGGCGAAGGCGGCUAACUGGUCCAUAACUGACGCUGAGGUGCGAAAGCGUGGGGAGCAAACAGGAUUAGAUACCCCUGUAGUCCCUGUCUCUUAUAC
This 303-nucleotide ribosomal RNA is filed under the name uncultured bacterium. RNAcentral describes it as "partial 16S ribosomal RNA". It matches the Rfam family "Bacterial small subunit ribosomal RNA", at positions 507 to 807 of the family's 1533-position model. The record is from RNAcentral.